This 75-nucleotide transfer RNA is filed under the name Bacteriophage sp. RNAcentral describes it as "tRNA-Glu". It matches the Rfam family "tRNA". Rfam says of the family: Transfer RNA (tRNA) molecules are approximately 80 nucleotides in length. Their secondary structure includes four short double-helical elements and three loops (D, anti-codon, and T loops). The record is from RNAcentral. RNAcentral also lists the same sequence under 3 other names.
GGCUCUGUGGUCUAUAAAGGUAAGGAUACCACCCUUUCAAGGUGGUAAUGCUGUGUUCAAGUCACGCCAGAGUCA